RNAcentral lists this ribosomal RNA (480 nucleotides) under uncultured Curtobacterium sp. RNAcentral's name for it is "bacterial SSU rRNA". It matches the Rfam family "Bacterial small subunit ribosomal RNA", at positions 901 to 1382 of the family's 1533-position model. The record is from RNAcentral. Lineage: Bacteria; Bacillati; Actinomycetota; Actinomycetes; Micrococcales; Microbacteriaceae.
UUAAAGGAAUUGACGGGGCCCGCACAAGCGGCGGAGCAUGCGGAUUAAUUCGAUGCAACGCGAAGAACCUUACCAAGGCUUGACAUACACCGGUAACGCCCAGAGAUGGGUGCCCCUUUGUGGUCGGUGGACAGGUGGUGCAUGGUUGUCGUCAGCUCGUGUCGUGAGAUGUUGGGUUAAGUCCCGCAACGAGCGCAACCCUCGUCCUAUGUUGCCAGCGGGUCAUGCCGGGGACUCAUGGGAGACUGCCGGGGUCAACUCGGAGGAAGGUGGGGAUGACGUCAAAUCAUCAUGCCCCUUAUGUCUUGGGCUUCACGCAUGCUACAAUGGCCGGUACAAAGGGCUGCGAUACCGCGAGGUGGAGCGAAUCCCAGAAAGCCGGUCUCAGUUCGGAUUGGGGUCUGCAACUCGACCCCAUGAAGUCGGAGUCGCUAGUAAUCGCAGAUCAGCAACGCUGCGGUGAAUACGUUCCCGGGCCUU